UAUCUCUGUAGAGUCUGCAUAUCAAUAAGCGGAGGAAAAGAAACUAACAAGGAUUCCCUUAGUAACGGCGAGUGAAGCGGGAAGAGCUCAAAUUUGAAAUCUUCAAGGUUUUACCUUGACGAAUUGUAGUUUAAAGAAGUGUUUCCUGUUGAAGUUUUGGUAAAAGUUCUUUGGAAUAGGACAUCAUAGAGGGUGAGAAUCCCGUAUUUGACCAUUAUUUCAGCUGUGUGAUACACUUUCAAAGAGUCGGAUUGUUUGGGAAUGCAGUCCAAAAUGGGUGGUAAAUUUCAUCUAAAGCUAAAUAUUGGCGAGAGACCGAUAGCGAACAAGUACCGUGAGGGAAAGAUGAAAAGAACUUUGUAAAGAGAGUUAAACAGUACGUGAAAUUGUCAAAAGGGAAGCGUUUGACACCAGUGUUGUUUUCUCGAAAAUCAAUUAAAAAAAGUUGGAUUUUGUAUUGUUAAGACCUUAUCAGCUUACUGUACUCUUUUCUUGCUUUUUUUAAUGCACUUUUCGUUUAACAAGUCAACAUCAAUUUCUUUUGUUGUAAAAGAGUCAUUGGAAGGUGGCUUUCACUUCGGUGAAAGUGUUUAUAGCCUUUGGCUUCUGCAAUCGGAGAGAUUGAGGUCUGCAGCGUAGAUCCUUCGGGGCUAGAUACGUAGAUGCUAAGUUAUAGUUUUUUAUAGACAACUUGUUGACUAUAAUUAAUCAUGUAGCUUACUCGUUUGCGCUAUUUUACCUACGCUUAGGAUGUUGAUCUGUAGUGCGUGCGC
This 773-nucleotide ribosomal RNA is filed under the name uncultured Neocallimastigales. RNAcentral's name for it is "partial large subunit ribosomal RNA". It matches the Rfam family "Eukaryotic large subunit ribosomal RNA", at positions 24 to 634 of the family's 3401-position model. The record is from RNAcentral. Lineage: Eukaryota; Fungi; Neocallimastigomycota; Neocallimastigomycetes; Neocallimastigales.